This 22-nucleotide microRNA is filed under the name Caenorhabditis brenneri. RNAcentral's name for it is "cbn-miR-1822". Lineage: Eukaryota; Metazoa; Nematoda; Chromadorea; Rhabditida; Rhabditidae. The record is from miRBase by way of RNAcentral.
GAGCUGCCCUGGGAUAGACUCU